Molecule: ribosomal RNA, 566 nt
Filed under: uncultured cyanobacterium
Lineage: Bacteria; Bacillati; Cyanobacteriota
Description: bacterial SSU rRNA
Rfam family: Bacterial small subunit ribosomal RNA
Source: RNAcentral
UGUCUGGGGAUGGGCCUGCGGCUGAUUAGCUAGUUGGUGAGGGUAAUGGCCCACCAAGGCGAGGAUCAGUAGCUGGCCUGAGAGGGCGGCCGGCCACAUUGGGACUGAGACACGGCCCAGACUCCUACGGGAGGCAGCAGUGAGGAAUCUUCUGCAAUGGGCGCAAGUCUGACAGAGCAACGCCGCGUGGAGGAAUAAGGCCACUCAAGGCUGUAAACUCCUUUGCACGGGCACAGGAAGGCUGACCGCCCGGGAAGCAAGCAUCGGCUAACUCCGUGCCAGCAGCCGCGGUAAUACGGGGGAUGCAAGCGUUAUCCGGAUUUACUGGGCGUAAAGCGUCUGUAGGCGGUUCGGUGUGUCUGUUGUCAAAACGCAGGGCCUAACUCUGUGGGGCAUCUGGAUACUAUCGAACUAGAGGGCGGUAGAGGUGGGGGGAACCCCUCGAGGAGCAGUGAAAUGCUUUGAUACGUGGAGGAAGGCCGGAGGCGAAGGCUCCCCACUGGGCCGCACCUGACGCUGAGAGACGAAAGCUAGGGGAGCGAAUGGGAUUAGAUACCCCAGUAGUC